CCUACGGGUUGCAGCAGUGGGGAAUAUUGCACAAUGGGCGCAAGCCUGAUGCAGCCAUGCCGCGUGUAUGAAGAAGGCCUUCGGGUUGUAAAGUACUUUCAGCGGGGAGGAAGGCGAUAAGGUUAAUAACCUUGUCGAUUGACGUUACCCGCAGAAGAAGCACCGGCUAACUCCGUGCCAGCAGCCGCGGUAAUACGGAGGGUGCAAGCGUUAAUCGGAAUUACUGGGCGUAAAGCGCACGCAGGCGGUUUGUUAAGUCAGAUGUGAAAUCCCCGGGCUCAACCUGGGAACUGCAUCUGAUACUGGCAAGCUUGAGUCUCGUAGAGGGGGGUAGAAUUCCAGGUGUAGCGGUGAAAUGCGUAGAGAUCUGGAGGAAUACCGGUGGCGAAGGCGGCCCCCUGGACGAAGACUGACGCUCAGGUGCGAAAGCGUGGGGAGCAAACAGGAUUAGAUACCCGGGUAGUC
This 465-nucleotide ribosomal RNA is filed under the name uncultured bacterium. RNAcentral describes it as "bacterial SSU rRNA". It matches the Rfam family "Bacterial small subunit ribosomal RNA", at positions 338 to 795 of the family's 1533-position model. The record is from RNAcentral.